UACGUAGGGUGCAAGCGUUGUCCGGAUUUAUUGGGCGUAAAGCGCUCGUAGGCGGCUUGUUGCGUCGACUGUGAAAACCCGCGGCUUAACCGCGGGCUUGCAGUUGAUACGGGCAGGCUAGAGUUCGGUAGGGGAGACUGGAAUUCCUGGUGUAGCGGUGAAAUGCGCAGAUAUCAGGAGGAACACCGGUGGCGAAGGCGGGUCUCUGGGCCGAUACUGACGCUGAGGAGCGAAAGCGUGGGGAGCGAACAGG
RNAcentral lists this ribosomal RNA (253 nucleotides) under uncultured bacterium. RNAcentral's name for it is "partial 16S ribosomal RNA". It matches the Rfam family "Bacterial small subunit ribosomal RNA", at positions 524 to 776 of the family's 1533-position model. The record is from RNAcentral.